ACUCCAUUCGAAAAUAAAAACCAAGCAGAAAAUGGUAUAAAUAUAAUGAAAAAGCACUCAAAACCCGCUCGCUGCCUGAGUGAGUUUUAUGGUUGCAGCCUGCUGUGCUGUGAUAUUGGAAUUUACUUUGAGACUGAGAUCAUUCGGAAUACACAUAAAGCGCCUGGCAAUGGCUGCGGCUUAACAUUAACAUUGAACAUUGAAAUAACGCCUGCCAGCCCGUACUCGUCGGGCUUGGCAUGAUUUUGCUUUUGUUUUGUCAAUGCAAAUGAUUCAGUACAAUUUGUGAUGCAGACAGCGAAACGUGCGAAUAGACUCAGAGAACCCGACAAAUGUUUACCUGUCAAGCUGAUAAGAUGGAGACACUUUUGUGGGCCAGCGAGCACAGCGACUAGCCUGCGCUUAUCUAGACUGCUUAAGGGAAGCCAAACACACACCAAACUCACUCAGAUUAGUGCUGGAGUGGUUGUUGUUCCAUUAGUCAGUUUUGGCAUGCGGCUGCCAAGAUUAGGCCAACUGAUUGAAGCGUCAGCCUCGUGCCAAUCGUGUGCAAGUGCAAAAAGCCACCGAGCUGCUGCUGACAACUGCUCAAGAGGGGCGAAAAUAAUUAGCUAUUAUUAUCAAUGUAAUUACAGAAAUAUUUCAAAUUCCACGACAACAGUUGUAAAUCAAUUUCAGAUACUCUUUAUAAUAAACUUGAAAUUUUACAGAAUUAUUACCGAUUGCCAUGUGAGCCUUAAUCAGCUCUCAAUUCUCAUUUCCUUUAAUGGAGGAGAAAAGCAUACGACAUCAUUUUGCUCGGAUUUAGAGGCGCACAGGAAGAAGAAGCACACAGAUCUACAUAUUACUCAGCUGUUGAUCCUGACUCUGAAUAUAGUUGAUAUACUCUCCAAAACCAGCAUCUGUCUCUUUUGCUGAUUAUAUAUAUGUGAGCAAAAGCCAGCAUACCCCGCGUUCCCAUUUUGAAUGCGCAUCUGAACGGAAAGUGAAAUAAAAGUCUGGAAUAUAAAUUAUAAUUAAUAAAUGUAUUAAUAUAUACAUACAUAUAUGUAUUUAUGUACAUAUAUUUACAUAUAUUUCGCGUGGCUUUGACCCUUCAAGCGACCCUAAAGGGUUACUCCGACACGAUUCUAAUUUUAAGUUAAUAACAUGUGUUUAUUAGUGUAAUGGAAUUGUUGUUGAUCGCACAAGUUCAUGGCGAAAACAAUUUUCAAUUAUGUAUUACUUUAUUUUUCAGUGUUUAUUUUUUUUUAUUGUUAUGAAUAUUUUCCGCGUAUUUAUUUCUAUAUUUAUCAAAAUCGAGCCAGAGUCAACUACAAUAUAGCAACUGUUUAUCAUAUACUCGAUUUUCGCUUCUAAUUAUUCUAUGCAAUUCAUAUUUAUCUAGAUUUGUUUUUUUUUUAUUUGUUUUUUUUUGCCAGCAGCGUGCAAAUUAAACCAUUUAAUUAGCGUGUUUACUGGUCAGCCAAAUAAUUGGCCUGCUUACGUAUCAGCUAAAAGGUUUUCUAGUUGACAAAAAAAUAGAAUUCGCUUAGGGCAGCACUUGCACGGAAAUUCUCAAUUUAAUUAAGAGCAUUUCGCAAACAACGAUCCGGUUUUAAUUAUGUAAUUUAAUUUGAAUAAACAACGCAAAUCGAAUUGAUAAUUUAAUUAUACUUUUCAGCAGGUUUCAAACGGUUCGGCAGCAAUAGAGGAAACUCCAGCUGCUCUCAAAUUAGCACCAAUUUCUCAAGACUCGCGGAGGCGACUCUUAGCACCUGGUGCUUAGCUAUUCUACCCUUUAAAUGGAUGAACACGGACAUAGGCAAUGGAAUCUGUGGUCAGAGAUGGCAGGCGAAUAACAUUGUGUGAAGUGCGUAGAUAGCAUUUGGAGAGAUGAUCAUCAGCUUCAACUGCUUGAUUUACAUGCUCGAUACAGCUCCAUAUGAUUCACGAGACUACCAACUCGCCGCUGACGUCACAGGCCAAACAUGUUCAAGAGAUGAUAAUGGGGUCUACGAAACUACGUCAGAGUCCGUGUAACGCCCGACCGGUUUUUAGCAGCAGCUAGACAUGGGCCUGGGCAAAUGGUUAGCCGGCUUUCGGCUCUGCUCACACUAGCGCUGGCUGGGUCUUGUUCGAUAUCCAAGAAACUGUAACACACGGCGUAUGCGCAAUGCAUGCAAAACAAAAACUAUUGGAAGGCCGCCGCUGCAAAUGAAAUUUGGCGCAAGCGCGCGAAUUCUCUUCAGCGCAAACCGGUUGCGCGCCUGAGAAAGUGCAUUAAGGCACUGCUGCCCCAGCCAGCGACACUAACAAAAAGCAAAAAAUGUUAAUUGACGAUUUUGGCAACAACAAAGUGCUCAGCCACUGCAGUCACAUACAGUGCCCGCUGAAAGCACCUUACACCUCACUGCGCACUGGUUCUUUCGGCAGUCGAAGCAUUGUUACGAGUCCCAGCAGCAAUGGUCGAAUAUUUGGCAACAACUUUUUACGCCUGGCCCUGCCGCGACUGGAAAGCGCUCAAAAAGAAGCCAGUUUAUCGUCUUUUAUCGUUUUGUAUGGCUUACGCAUUAAAAGACAAGACGCAUCAUGUUUACAAUUAUCGUAGUUGCUUUUUCAUGUCAUGCCUUCGAUAAUGUUUGCCGACUGAGAGUGCGCAUCGACGACGUACUGACGCAGUCGCAGAGCUAAGUAAAUAAAAUUAAUUUGAGUUCAUAAAAAAAUAACGACUUUAAGCAAACUUGAUAUGCUUUAUACUAUGAAUGAAUUUCUACUAUGAAUAAACAACACAUUUAUAUAAUUGUACAUAUUAGAUUUAGCUGUAACAUUUUUGAGUAAUUUUAUUGAAUUUAUUUAAUUAAUUGUUUGUAAAGUGCACAAAUAUAUUGAUCAACUGAAUUUCCUUGAA
This is a long non-coding RNA of Drosophila mojavensis, 2890 nucleotides long. RefSeq lists it as uncharacterized. The record is from RefSeq and is a predicted model, not a curated record. The transcript is spliced from 2 exons. NCBI's taxonomy places the organism in Eukaryota, Metazoa, Arthropoda, Insecta, Diptera, Drosophilidae.